This 253-nucleotide ribosomal RNA is filed under the name uncultured bacterium. RNAcentral describes it as "partial 16S ribosomal RNA". It matches the Rfam family "Bacterial small subunit ribosomal RNA", at positions 524 to 776 of the family's 1533-position model. The record is from RNAcentral.
GACGUAGGGGGCGAGCGUUGUCCGGAUUCAUUGGGCGUAAAGCGCGCGUAGGCGGCCCGGUAAGUCGGAUGUGAAAUCUCACGGCUCAACCGUGGAACUGCAUUCGAAACUGUCGGGCUAGAGGCAGGUAGGGGAGAUCGGAAUUCCCGGUGUAGCGGUGAAAUGCGCAGAUAUCGGGAGGAACACCGGUGGCGAAGGCGGAUCUCUGGGCCUUACCUGACGCUGAGGAGCGAAAGCGUGGGGAGCGAACAGG